GACGAACGCUGGCGGCGUGCCUAAUACAUGCAAGUAGAACGCUGAAGGAGGAGCUUGCUUCUCUGGAUGAGUUGCGAACGGGUGAGUAACGCGUAGGUAACCUGCCUGGUAGCGGGGGAUAACUAUUGGAAACGAUAGCUAAUACCGCAUAAGAGUAGAUGUCGCAUGACAUUUGCUUAAAAGGUGCAAUUGCAUCACUACCAGAUGGACCUGCGUUGUAUUAGCUAGUUGGUGAGGUAACGGCUCACCAAGGCAACGAUACAUAGCCGACCUGAGAGGGUGAUCGGCCCAACUGGGACUGAGACACGGCCCAGACUCCUACGGGAGGCAGCAGUAGGGAAUCUUCGGCAAUGGACGGAAGUCUGACCGAGCAACGCCGCGUGAGUGAAGAAGGUUUUCGGAUCGUAAAGCUCUGUUGUAAGAGAAGAACGAGUGUGAGAGUGGAAAGUUCACACUGUGACGGUAUCUUACCAGAAAGGGACGGCUAACUACGUG
RNAcentral lists this ribosomal RNA (495 nucleotides) under uncultured bacterium. RNAcentral describes it as "partial 16S ribosomal RNA". It matches the Rfam family "Bacterial small subunit ribosomal RNA", at positions 28 to 507 of the family's 1533-position model. The record is from RNAcentral.